GACGAACGCUGGCGGCGUGCUUAACACAUGCAAGUCGAACGGAAAGGCCCUGCUUUUGUGGGGUGCUCGAGUGGCGAACGGGUGAGUAACACGUGAGUAACCUGCCCUUGACUUUGGGAUAACUUCAGGAAACUGGGGCUAAUACCGGAUAGGAGCUCCUGCUGCAUGGUGGGGGUUGGAAAGUUUCGGCGGUUGGGGAUGGACUCGCGGCUUAUCAGCUUGUUGGUGGGGUAGUGGCUUACCAAGGCUUUGACGGGUAGCCGGCCUGAGAGGGUGACCGGCGACAGUGGGACGGAGAUACGGCCCAGACUCCUACGGGAGGCAGCAGGGGGGAGUGUUGCAGAAUGGGCGGAAGCCUGAUGCAGCAACGCCGCGUGCGGGAUGACGGCCUUCGGGUUGUAAACCGCUUUCGCCUGUGACGAAGCGUGAGUGACGGUAAUGGGUAAAGAAGCACCGGCUAACUACGUG
Molecule: ribosomal RNA, 468 nt
Filed under: uncultured bacterium
Lineage: Bacteria
Description: partial 16S ribosomal RNA
Rfam family: Bacterial small subunit ribosomal RNA
Source: RNAcentral